CCUGGCUCAGAUUGAACGCUGGCGGCAGGCCUAACACUUGCAAGUCGAGCGGUAGAGAGAAGCUUGCUUUUCUUGAGAGCGGCGGACGGGUGAGUAAUGCCUAGGAAUCUGCCUGGUAGUGGGGGAUAACGUUCGGAAACGGACGCUAAUACCGCAUACGUCCUACGGGAGAAAGCAGGGGACCUUCGGGCCUUGCGCUAUCAGAUGAGCCUAGGUCGGAUUAGCUAGUUGGUGAGGUAAUGGCUCACCAAGGCGACGAUCCGUAACUGGUCUGAGAGGAUGAUCAGUCACACUGGAACUGAGACACGGUCCAGACUCCUACGGGAGGCAGCAGUGGGGAAUAUUGGACAAUGGGCGAAAGCCUGAUCCAGCCAUGCCGCGUGUGUGAAGAAGGUCUUCGGAUUGUAAAGCACUUUAAGUUGGGAGGAAGGGCAGUAAAUUAAUACUUUGCUGUUUUGACGUUACCGACAGAAUAAGCACCGGCUAACUCUGUGCCAGCAGCCGCGGUAAUACAGAGGGUGCAAGCGUUAAUCGGAAUUACUGGGCGUAAAGCGCGCGUAGGUGGUUUGUUAAGUUGGAUGUGAAAUCCCCGGGCUCAACCUGGGAACUGCAUUCAAAACUGACUGACUAGAGUAUGGUAGAGGGUGGUGGAAUUUCCUGUGUAGCGGUGAAAUGCGUAGAUAUAGGAAGGAACACCAGUGGCGAAGGCGACCACCUGGACUAAUACUGACACUGAGGUGCGAAAGCGUGGGGAGCAAACGGGAUUAGAUACCCUGGUAGUCCACGCCGUAAACGAUGUCAACUAGCCGUUGGAAGCCUUGAGCUUUUAGUGGCGCAGCUAACGCAUUAAGUUGACCGCCUGGGGAGUACGGCCGCAAGGUUAAAACUCAAAUGAAUUGACGGGGGCCCGCACAAGCGGUGGAGCAUGUGGUUUAAUUCGAAGCAACGCGAAGAACCUUACCAGGCCUUGACAUCCAAUGAACUUUCUAGAGAUAGAUUGGUGCCUUCGGGAACAUUGAGACAGGUGCUGCAUGGCUGUCGUCAGCUCGUGUCGUGAGAUGUUGGGUUAAGUCCCGUAACGAGCGCAACCCUUGUCCUUAGUUACCAGCACGUCAUGGUGGGCACUCUAAGGAGACUGCCGGUGACAAACCGGAGGAAGGUGGGGAUGACGUCAAGUCAUCAUGGCCCUUACGGCCUGGGCUACACACGUGCUACAAUGGUCGGUACAGAGGGUUGCCAAGCCGCGAGGUGGAGCUAAUCCCACAAAACCGAUCGUAGUCCGGAUCGCAGUCUGCAACUCGACUGCGUGAAGUCGGAAUCGCUAGUAAUCGCGAAUCAGAAUGUCGCGGUGAAUACGUUACCGGGCCUUGUACACACCGCCCGUC
This 1385-nucleotide ribosomal RNA is filed under the name uncultured bacterium. RNAcentral's name for it is "16S ribosomal RNA". It matches the Rfam family "Bacterial small subunit ribosomal RNA". The record is from RNAcentral.